AAUCCAAUUAAUUAUUUCCAUCAUCCAUUAAUUACUCACUACAAGAGUGUAUCGGUGUACAAUCAUUGUAGGUUCUAAUUAGCAAGGCAGUGAGGUGAUUGACAUCAAUCCAAUUGAUUAUAUUUAAUCCAAUCACUUAGUGAAUUAAAACUUCCUUUUAAUUCACUUUUCUUCUUUGAUGACUACAUUUAAUCAUCUAGAAGAACUCACAAGCUAUGAGUGACAUCUAACCAUAUGUCAUAGCUACCCAAGCUAAUGUAGAAGUUGUUUGGAGAACCUAUUCAGUUGGAAUUACAAUGUAAUUCGAUCCUUCUCUAAAACAAUACUCUCAAUCACAUUACUAGGGUAUGGAUAUAUUAUGUCAAACCCCUAAUGUGAUUAUUCCUUCUUAUAUGAUUCUAUUGAGUCGUAUAGGAACGUUUUCCUUUAUUACGCUCGAUACUUCGGCCGAAGAUUCCCGAAUCAUAUCUUAGAGUAUUCUUCCUCUCUUAUCGAGGAUUAGAGAUUCCUUGUUGCGCAUUCACUUGCCUUCAUGACUAAGUGGCUUAACCUCAAUUAUGCCGUGGAC
This 568-nucleotide long non-coding RNA is filed under the name Malus domestica (apple). RNAcentral describes it as "long non-coding RNA (MDOM_LNC018067)". The record is from RNAcentral. Lineage: Eukaryota; Viridiplantae; Streptophyta; Magnoliopsida; Rosales; Rosaceae.